AGAGUUUGAUCAUGGCUCAGGAUGAACGCUGGCGGCGUGCCUAAUACAUGCAAGUCGAGCGGUAAGGCUCCUGCAGUUUGCUUAAGCGGCAACAGGGCGGUUACAAAGUAAUCGCAUCUGUACCGAAGAGAUGAGCGAUCAUCUCUCCUAAGACCAUGGCUGGUCACGGGGUGCUUAAGUAAAGUGCUGGAGUACACGAGCGGCGGACGGCUGAGUAACACGUAGGAACGUACCCCAAACUGAGGGAUAAGCACCAGAAAUGGUGUCUAAUACCGCAUGUGCUCUAAGGAGUAAAGCUUCGGCGGUUUGGGAACGGCCUGCGUCCGAUUAGCUUGUUGGUAAGGUAAUGGCUUACCAAGGCGACGAUCGGUAGCUGGUCUGAGAGGAUGAUCAGCCAGACUGGGACUGAGAACGGCCCAGACUCCUACGGGAGGCAGCAGUAGGGAAUUUUCCACAAUGGGGGCAACCCUGAUGGAGCAACGCCGCGUGCAGGAUGAAUGCCUUCGGGUUGUAAACUGCUUUUAUCUGUGACGAAUAUGACGGUAGCAGAUGAAUAAGCUUCGGCUAACUCCGUGCCAGCAGCCGCGGUCAUACGGAGGAAGCAAGCGUUAUCCGGAAUUACUGGGCGUAAAGAGUUGCGUAGGUGGCAUUGUGUGUCGGUAGUGAAAGCGUGUGGCUCAACCAUAUAUCCAUUACCGAAACUGCAAAGCUAGAGGACGAGAGAGGUUAUUGGAAUUCCCAGUGUAGGAGUGAAAUCCGUAGAUAUUGGGAGGAACACCGAUGGCGUAGGCAGAUAACUGGCUCGUUUCUGGCACUAAGGCACGAAAGCGUGGGUAGCAAACGGGAUUAGAUACCCCCGUAGUCC
RNAcentral lists this ribosomal RNA (865 nucleotides) under uncultured bacterium. RNAcentral's name for it is "bacterial SSU rRNA". It matches the Rfam family "Bacterial small subunit ribosomal RNA", at positions 8 to 796 of the family's 1533-position model. The record is from RNAcentral.